CCUACGGGUGGCAGCAGUGAGGAAUAUUGGUCAAUGGUCGGGAGACUGAACCAGCCAAGCCGCGUGAGGGAUGAAGGUACAGAGUAUCGUAAACCUCUUUUGUCAGGGAACAAAGGCGGGGACGUGUCCCCGGAUGAGUGUACCUGAAGAAAAAGCAUCGGCUAACUCCGUGCCAGCAGCCGCGGUAAUACGGAGGAUGCGAGCGUUAUCCGGAUUUAUUGGGUUUAAAGGGUGCGCAGGCGGUCUGUUAAGUCAGCGGUCAAAGCCCGGGGCUCAGCCCCGGCCCGCCGUUGAAACUGGCAGACUCGAGUUGGAGAGAGGUAUGCGGAAUGCGCGGUGUAGCGGUGAAAUGCAUAGAUAUCGCGCAGAACUCCGAUUGCGAAGGCAGCAUGCCGGCUCCACACUGACGCUGAGGCACGAAAGCGUGGGUAGCGAACAGGAUUAGAUACCCUUGUAGUC
Molecule: ribosomal RNA, 459 nt
Filed under: uncultured bacterium
Lineage: Bacteria
Description: partial 16S ribosomal RNA
Rfam family: Bacterial small subunit ribosomal RNA
Source: RNAcentral